GAUGAAGAACGCAGCGAAAUGCGAAAAGUAAUGUGAAUUGCAGAAUUCAGUGAACCAUCGAAUCUUUGAACGCACAUUGCGCCCGCUGGAACUCCGGCGGGCACGCCUGUCCGAGCGUCAUUUCAACCCUCAGGCCCCCCUUCGCGGGCGGGCCUGGUGUUGGGGCCCGGCCGCUACCCUGCGGCCGUCCCCUAAAUUCAGUGGCGGCCUCGCCGUGAUCCCUUGCGUAGUAAUGCACCUCGCACCGGAGAGCGCCGUGGCCACGCCGUAAAACCCCCAAUUUUCAAAUGUUGACCUCGGAUCAGGUGGGAAUACCCGCUGAACUUAAGCAUAUCAAUAAGCGGAGGA
Molecule: unclassified non-coding RNA, 348 nt
Filed under: soil metagenome
Description: partial contains 5.8S ribosomal RNA, internal transcribed spacer 2, and large subunit ribosomal RNA
Rfam family: 5.8S ribosomal RNA (bases 1-120)
Source: RNAcentral